Hemicordylus capensis (graceful crag lizard) is the source of this 651-nucleotide long non-coding RNA. RefSeq lists it as uncharacterized. The record is from RefSeq and is a predicted model, not a curated record. Lineage: Eukaryota; Metazoa; Chordata; Lepidosauria; Squamata; Cordylidae. The transcript has 3 exons.
GAAGAGCGGGAUAUAAAAUGUAAUAAUAAAUAAUAAUAAUAAUAAAUACAAGCUGACCCCGCACAGAGCAUCUGUUCGCUCUUUGGGGCCGGCUACCUCUCUCUCUCUCCACCCCCCCGUCUCUGGUGGGGCCGAGUGCGGCCAUCGCUGCCAGCGGGCCGAGUGUCGCCGCCAGUGGGCCGAGUGCAGCCGCGACUGCGGCUGCUGCCGCCAGCCGCCGCCUCGCCUCCGCGGCCUAGCCGGGCCCGCCAGCCGCCGCCGCCUCGCCUCAUUUAAGAUUUCUUUACUUCAUGAGGCCUGCAGGGCCAGAUGCAGCAGGGAGUUUCCGGUCGGAGCGUCAGGAACAGGAAGCUUCCUGGCCCGAGAGCUCUUGUGCGGGCAGUGGUGGUGGGUGCGGCCGCAACGGGAAUGAAGCAGAGGAGGCCCACGGAGGGUUGAGGAGGCCCACGGAGGGCUGAGGAGGCGGCAGCGGGCCCUAGCAGCAAAAUAAUGACUGGGAGUGGGGGCGAAGAAGACAGCAGUGGCCCCCUCUUCACUUUUCGUCCUAUUUGCUAUGCCUCUGCCUUCCACUCUCCUGGAAAAUGGCUCUGGCUGAUCAAGCAGCAGGCCAACCAGCCAUGUGCUCAAUUAUAUUAAAAAGAACUAAGUUCA